GCUGGGUGCGGUGGCGCACACCUGUAAUCCCAACAGUUUGGGAGGCUGAGGCAAAGGGAUUGUCAGUUCCAAGCCAGCCUCAGCAAUUCAGCAAGGCCCUAAGCAACUUGGCAAGACCCUGUCUGUA
Molecule: small RNA, 127 nt
Filed under: Marmota monax (woodchuck)
Lineage: Eukaryota; Metazoa; Chordata; Mammalia; Rodentia; Sciuridae
Source: RNAcentral